UGGGUGAGUGAUAGGGAGACAUAGGUUUC
Molecule: non-coding RNA, 29 nt
Filed under: Rattus norvegicus (Norway rat)
Lineage: Eukaryota; Metazoa; Chordata; Mammalia; Rodentia; Muridae
Source: RNAcentral